Vicia villosa (hairy vetch) is the source of this 686-nucleotide long non-coding RNA. RefSeq lists it as uncharacterized. The record is from RefSeq and is a predicted model, not a curated record. Lineage: Eukaryota; Viridiplantae; Streptophyta; Magnoliopsida; Fabales; Fabaceae. The transcript is spliced from 2 exons.
GGGUUAUGAAACCCUAGGAGCCGAAACGAUGCUUCAUAUCUGUGAAGAAAAGAGAAAAGAACGCUCUUCCUCUCAAUCAACGCUCUCUGUUCUCACGACUUCUCUUUUCCAAUCUCUCUGCUAAAUUUUCUAUCUCACUCUCUCAGACUCUCGCAUCUGCUUUUCGAUUCAACCCUCUCGCGAUUUCUCUCUCAAUCGAUUCAAUUUCAUCGUUUCCAGAAAAAACAACUUACGAAAUCUACUUCUAAACAUGAGUAUUCAAGCAAGAUAUAUAGCAAGAUCUAAAUCCCAAAUGAACCCAGCCCCAAUUUCCGCUUCACUAUGAUUCGAUUACAGUUACAUGGAAAUCAGAUGUAGAGAUUGAUAAAUAGGAACAAGAACGAAAAAUAUCAGGUUUUUGGCAGCAUUGAGGUGCAGGUUUCUUGCAGGUUUGUGGAGAUGGAGCAGCUUUAUAUUUGUUGUUUUGUGAAGGGGUUUUCUAAACUGAUGAUGGUGAUGCGCAUGAGAGCAUGGAAUUCAAAUUUGAAGAGUCCUCUUUUUUAUUUUUUGGUGGUCACUUAGAAACUUGAGAUAUCCUUGUAUAGGAUCCCAAAAUAAUGUACUAUACUUUGUAAAAGUUAAAACUACAUAAAAUAAUGUAUUAUAUUUUUUUAUUUUUAUAACAAGCUUAUCUACUAUCUACUAUC